This 393-nucleotide ribosomal RNA is filed under the name uncultured bacterium. Its description in RNAcentral is "bacterial SSU rRNA". It matches the Rfam family "Bacterial small subunit ribosomal RNA", at positions 335 to 716 of the family's 1533-position model. The record is from RNAcentral.
ACUCCUACGGGAGGCAGCAGUGGGGAAUAUUGCACAAUGGGGAAACCCGUACAUGCAGCCAUGCCGCGUGUGUGAAGAAGGCCUUCGGGUUGUAAAAGCACUUUCAGUAGGGAGGAAGGUAGUGUAGUUAACACCUGCACUAUUUUGACGUUACCUACAGAAGAAGCACCGGCUAACUCCGUGCCAGCAGCCGCGGUAAUACGGAGGGUGCGAGCGUUAAUCGGAAUUACUGGGCGUAAAGCGCAUGCAGGCGGCCUGUUAAGUCAGAUGUGAAAGCCCGGGGCUUAACCUCGGAAUUGCAUUUGAAACUGGCAGGCUAGAGUCUUGUAGAGGGGUGAGAAUUGAUCAGGUGUAGCGGUGAAAUGCGUAGAGAUCUGAAGGAAUACCAGUGGC